GGGGACUGGCGGUGACGCGGGUGACAUGCUGCGACAGAUGAGGAACGGUGCUGGAACCGGCCAGUGGUUUUUCUUCAAACGGCGAAGAUGUGGUGGUCGGCAACGGCAGUGGCCAUGGUAACUUGCCUUUUGUUGUUGUUUUGCCGGAACCACUAUUGAUUUUUCCUAGAACUCGCUUUCUUUUUUGCUGCAACAGGAGAUGCUAGUGCCUGGACGGCGACAGCGAUGGCCUGCUGCAUAGUUUUUUUUCUGGAACCAGCAUUCGACUCUGCUGUAACAAGCGAGGGUCGUGCUGGGAGGCGACGGCGGGUGGCUGCCAUGAAUUUUUGCUGGAACCAUAUCAUUGUUUGGGAAAACAUUUUUUUUUCAAUUUUUUUGCUGGAACCAUAUUAAUCUUUUGUUGAAACCAUGUGUUUUUUGUUGGAACCAUAACAAUGAUUGGUAUGAAGAAUAU
RNAcentral lists this long non-coding RNA (454 nucleotides) under Triticum aestivum (bread wheat). Its description in RNAcentral is "long non-coding RNA (TAES_LNC022849)". Lineage: Eukaryota; Viridiplantae; Streptophyta; Magnoliopsida; Poales; Poaceae. The record is from RNAcentral.